This 392-nucleotide ribosomal RNA is filed under the name Triticum aestivum (bread wheat). Its description in RNAcentral is "partial small subunit ribosomal RNA". Lineage: Eukaryota; Viridiplantae; Streptophyta; Magnoliopsida; Poales; Poaceae. The record is from RNAcentral.
UCCUGCGCGCUUACUGCUUCUGGUUGUCCGCGUCCAAGUCGAGCUCCCGCGAGCUGAGCGACGCCGUGAGCACCGGCCUGGAGGAGGAGGAGGAGGAGCGCGGCGGCGAAGGCGAGGAGCUCGGGGAUGGCGAGGCCAUGGAGGCGGCGGAGGGGUUGACGGCACGGAGCUGGCGGGUGCCGUGCGCGAAGAAGCAGAUGCGGCGGGGGCAGCCGACCUCGUCCUUGCAGAGCCUGGUGCGGUACUGCGCCGGGUGGAGCCAUGACUCGAAGACGCCGUGCGCCUACUCGCAGCCGUCGCCCUUGCGGCAUGCUGCCGGGUCGCGGCGGAAGUCCGGGCAGGGGACGCAGGAGUAUGGGACGCGGCGCGGGUCGCGGCGGCGGGCGUUCUCC